GUCAAGGUGACAGCUAGGAUCAGUCAUCACAGCAAUCAAGCUGGGAAAAGGCACCAAGGAUACCCCUGGCAGGGUUGCAACUAUGUGACAUCCUGGAAAAGUCAAAGCUACAGAGACAGUGAAAAGAUCAGCUAGAAUUUGAGAGAAGAAGGAAGUAGGGAUGCAUUCUACAACAUGGAUGAGCCCAAGACCAUUAUGUAAAGUAAGAAAGACCAACACAGUCGCAAAGGCCUGUGUUGACACAAAUCCAUUUAGAGAACGAAAAGCUGCCAAACCUGGAAGUGUGCUGCUGGUAUCGUGAGGGACCAGGAAGGUGUCUAAGACACCGGUACACAGAAAUCAAGGAGUGUACCGUUCACCAUGGCACAACCUCCAACGCUGGUAUUGGAGAAGAGCCUGGGCACAGUCCUGAGAAGAGAGGAGGGAUGCAUGGUCCAUUGCAGGACAGGGCUCACAGUCCCACAAGGAAGACAGCGAAUGCAGCUUUGCUUGCCCCACCUACAAAACAGGAAGACAGUCCAGGACUUUCUGCCUAGGGAAUGGUGCUGCCCACAGUUAAGAGUCUUCACCCAUCAAUCAACAUAUUCACACGUCAUCAAGACAACCCCCACAGGUACACCCAGAAACCCAUCCCCCAGGUUAUUUUAGACCCUGUCAAGUUGACAACCAACCCUAGCUAUCAUAGUGGUUGUGGUAACCAGGACUGUUUAUGGACUCCAAACUACCCAACCACCAUAAAACAGGUCCUCUAAGUCACUGACAAGGUGUUGAGGCAAGGAAGAUGGUUUCACUCCAAAAUCAGCUGCAAAGAAGGCAGAGGACUGAGGCUCGAAGUUCUUCAUUUUUCCUGGGGACAGCCAGGAGCCCCUAAGGUGGGGGGGGGGGCUUAAGGAAGUAGGAGAAAAAAAGGUAUAGAGGAAAUCAAGCAGUUAUUUUCAAUAGCAGACCACAGGUGUCACGAAGAUCAGCUGCCUUGGGUGGAUACUGUCCAGACCUCCUGAGCUUUCUGUAACUCAAGCAGUUGUUAGCAUGAUGAGAUGACAUCGUCGGUCGCACAUUAGCAGACCAGACACUUCCUGCUGCCUGUGUGAGAGAGUGCAGGCUGCUUGAAGGCUGUGUGAGAUGUGGGCUCUGCUGUCUUCUCGGAUCAACCAGCUUGUCAGUAGGGAGCUGCUUCAGGACGACAGCCGAGUGACCAGCAGGAGAGCAGCUCAUUCAGUUGGGAUGUGCCACAUAGAGGAAUGACUCCAUUUCCAGGGGGCAAGCCAGGAGAUCUUGCCACAUGACUCAGAAGAUCUUGCCGUUUAAAACAUGAUUGCCUGUCUCCGAAUUUCCUGUUUGAUACCUUGGGAUCAUGGUUGGCCUGUGAGGACCUGGGCUGUGGAAAACAAAACCACAGACAAUGGGCGGGCUAUCAUAGUGGUUCUUGUGGCCAGAAUAUGUUGAAGCUGGGAGUAUGUGGGCUCUUUUGUUUGUUUGUGUCAGGCCCGUGAUUCCUUCCAACAAUCCCAUGUGGUGGUUACUGCUGCCCCCUCCCACCCCAGCUAAUGUACUGGGAAGCUCCACCCUUCAAUCACAUGUGGUGGUAGUUGGAGGUAGGGCUUUGGGGAUGUAAUUGAUGCUAGAACAGACCGUGAAGUAGGGCGUCUGUGAUGGCAUUAGUGGCUUUACAGGCUGAGGAAGCAUUAUGUGCUGCCCAUUUUCCUUCCUUCCUUCCUCCCUCCCUCCUUCCCUCCCUCCCUCCUUCC
Non-coding RNA from Myodes glareolus (Bank vole), 1748 nucleotides. The record is from RefSeq and is a predicted model, not a curated record. NCBI's taxonomy places the organism in Eukaryota, Metazoa, Chordata, Mammalia, Rodentia, Cricetidae.